Molecule: transfer RNA, 75 nt
Filed under: Nanobdellati archaeon
Lineage: Archaea; Nanobdellati
Description: tRNA-Arg
Rfam family: tRNA
About the family: Transfer RNA (tRNA) molecules are approximately 80 nucleotides in length.
Source: RNAcentral
GUGCCUGUAGCUCAGCUUGGAUAGAGCGAUAACCUUCUAAGUUAUAGGUCGCAGGUUCAAAUCCUGUCAGGCACG